Molecule: ribosomal RNA, 274 nt
Filed under: uncultured bacterium
Lineage: Bacteria
Description: partial 16S ribosomal RNA
Rfam family: Bacterial small subunit ribosomal RNA
Source: RNAcentral
AUACGGAGGAUGCAAGCGUUAUCCGGAUUUAUUGGGUUUAAAGGGUUCGUAGGCGGAAAAUUAAGUCAGUGGUGAAAGCCUGCAGCUCAACUGCAGAACUGCCAUUGAUACUGAUUUUCUUGAAUUUAUAUGAAGUGGGCGGAAUGCGUCAUGUAGCGGUGAAAUGCACAGAUAUGACGCAGAACACCAAUUGCGAAGGCAGCUCACUAAUGUAAUAUUGACGCUGAGGAACGAAAGCAUGGGGAGCGAACAGGAUUAGAUACCCCAGUAGUCC